RNAcentral lists this ribosomal RNA (253 nucleotides) under uncultured bacterium. RNAcentral's name for it is "partial 16S ribosomal RNA". It matches the Rfam family "Bacterial small subunit ribosomal RNA", at positions 524 to 776 of the family's 1533-position model. The record is from RNAcentral.
UACGGAGGGUGCAAGCGUUAUCCGGAUUCACUGGGUUUAAAGGGUGUGUAGGCGGUUAUUUAAGUCCGAGGUGAAAUCUCUGAGCUCAACUCAGAAACUGCCUUGGAUACUAUUUAUCUUGAAUAUCGUUGAGGUAGGCGGAAUAUGUCAUGUAGCGGUGAAAUGCUUAGAUAUGACAUAGAACACCGAUUGCGAAGGCAGCUUGCUAAACGAUUAUUGACGCUGAGGCACGAAAGCGUGGGGAUCAAACAGG